This 6328-nucleotide long non-coding RNA is filed under the name Sus scrofa (pig). RNAcentral's name for it is "lncRNA (ENSSSCG00000051799.1)". Lineage: Eukaryota; Metazoa; Chordata; Mammalia; Artiodactyla; Suidae. The record is from RNAcentral.
GGGAAUGCACCCCACAUGCUGGACUAUUUGCGGUUCCCCGAAGAAUUAGUUUUUUUGUUUUUUGGGGUUUCUGUUUUGCUUUUUAGGAGUUUCCCAGGCUAAGGGUCGAAUUGGAGCUAUAGCUGCCGGCCUACGUACCACAGCCACAGCAUAGCAUCUGAGCCAUGUCUGACCUGCACCACAGCUAAUGGCAAUGCUAGAUCCUUAACCCACUGAGCAAGGACGGGGAUCAAACCUGCACCCUCAUGGAUGCUAGUCAGAUUCGUUAACCGCUGAGCCUCAACAGAGAACUCCUACCCCAAGAAUUGUGUUCUGUUGUAUCUUUGUCUUGGCACAUGCUACUUCCUUGAUUCAUUCAUUUAGCAACUAAUGAGCAAUUGCCUAAGGCCAGGCAUUUUAUUUGGAGUUGUUCCCACCUCCUCUGUCUUGCUGAUUCCUCACUGUCCAGAACCAUACAAGGCCCCUCUUUCAGGAAGUCUUCCCAUGACCCCCUUUUCCCUCCAAUUUGGGCCAGAGACCUCUUUAUUCCCUCAGCCGCUUGUAAGGAUCUAUCAUAAAAAUGAAAACCCUGAAUUGAAAUUGUCUAUGUCACCCAUUCAGCUGCAGUGAAUGAGAGAGCAUCUGACAAGCUCUUUAAGGUCUGCCUGUGCCUGUCAUCCUCAGAACAAGUGAAGGGCAGAGAUGCCCAGUCAGUAUUAGAUGGAUAAACAGGCAGUGAGCAAACAGUUGGGAUGUUUGUCAUCUUUACUGGGGCUUCAGACUCGCCUUACCUUGUUUGCCAUUUCUUCAUUUCUAGAAGCUGACUAUGAAGGAGCAAUCAAUGGGCAGAGUCCCCAAAUGCUCUGAUUCUCUUUGCUUGGCCCAGGCGCCUUGGCAUCAGAUUUUGAAAGACCUGACCCAGAAAAGAGUGAGCUGACCGUUAUAGGGAGAGCAACAUUCUAUUGACACAUUCCAGAUGGGUCUGCAUCUGAGACUUAAAAGGACAGCAGGCCAACAGCUGCAGUCCCAAGAAUCAUGCUGGGGCCAGGUCAGAGGGGCUUGGGAGUCAGGGCUUGGACUUGGUCAAGGCUGGAUUUCUGUCUUUACACCUCACACCAGCUGUGUGAUUCCAGCCGUGUCACUGUACUUCUGUGUUUUGGUUCCCUCGUCUGUAAAGCAGAGCCUGCCUCUCAGCUUGCUGGUAGGGGUUGAGUGAGAGUGAUUGGAGAACAUCUUCCCCAAGGCCAAGUUUUCUGACGUGACUGCAGAUUGCCUGUCCUGAAGGCUGGGAGUUCUCUGCCUUUCUGCCGUGAUGGGAAGUGCCCCGUGGAGGACCAGGAGUGUGGCAGAGUUUUUCAGUGGUGCUAAGUGUGUCUCUGGUCUCCCGGGCACCUUUGUCUUCAUUGCUAGCACCUCGGCAUUCCCAAUGGGCUGGUGGGCCUACACCCUCACCUGGGCAGCAGCAUGGCUCACACAUGGGCAUUUGGGGCACAAAGUUUUAAUGUCUCUGAACUGUUUUCUGAGCAAUGCUGAAUUUUCUUCUGUCAGUUUCUAGGCCAAGGAAUUAGCAGCCACACCUCAUUUCUGGAUCAAAUUUGGCAGAGAAUCUAGCAAACCUGCCUGACAUAAUGCCCACUACCCUUUUCAUCCAUCUCUGGGGGCUUGAAGUUUCCUUUUGAUUACCUCUGGCAGUCUUUCCAAUGUGCCAGAGGCAUGGGGACUCAGAUUGGGAAGGGCUUGUGGGUGCCAGCCUGUGACCAAGCACAGGGCCUCUUUCAUGCCUGCUAUCCAACCUCCACUUGAACACUUGUAGUGACAUGGCCUCACUACUGCCAGCUCAGACUUCCCACAUUUCAGACACUCCAGAGAUUGUCAGUUCUGCCACAUUCUUCUCAUUGAACUCCUUCUCCACCUUUAAAACGUACCUCUCCCACUCUGUGAUGGCUUUCCUGCCCAGGAGCCAGCAGAAGACUGCUCACUCUUUCUGCUCUCUAAACGUGCAGUGCACUAACUGGUGCCUAUCUGACCAUAAUUGUAUAUUUGCACAUUCGUUUUAUGGACAGCACAUCAAUGCCAAAAACAAAAUUUGCCAAAUCAGUCAGCAGCAGUAGGAGCUCAGCACCCAUGGCUGAUAAGGGAACUGGAAGGACUUGUGCUUUGAAGUCAGUCCUAACUACAGGUUUGGGGGGCGGGGGGCAGGGGAGGAAGGCUGGUCUGGCAUUAUAGUGGGAAAGUAAAGUGCAAAGCCCAAGUGAGUGAUGGGGAAAUGCCAGGACCUGACCCAGCAAGCUGAGAAGUGAAACUGCUCUCCACCAAGCCCGAGUACGCCCCCUUGUGGUGAGGGAGAGCUGUGCAGGGUUUCCCAUGGGAGCGCAGGGUGGAGAAAAACCAGGCAGGUGAGGGGGAACCAGCGCCUCUGCAUCUUGGAAGAGUUGAAGGCACCCUCAGGGAAUCUGGCUCAGGGGUAGAGGGGAAGAUGCUGGUCUAGAAAAGCCAGCCCCUACUGGCCCUCUGUUGUCCAGGCUGUGCAGGGGAAAGGAGGAGAGGGAAUUAAAACUACAGGACCUAGAGCUCUAAGCUCUAUUUACAUUAUCUUGUUUAAUCUUGCCAUGCAGAUGAGAAACUGAGACUCAGAGAGGGUGACGUAACUAGAACAUAGCCCAGGCAGGAUGGGGACCCUGCUCCAGGCCACCCCCAUGUCCUCCUUUAGGCCGAUUUUCUGAUUAUUAAAGCAUUGGGAUCCUACUGGGAGACAGUGGGAUUUUCUUCAGAUGAGAUGCUCUCGGACCUUUAGCCUCCUAUGGCAUUCCUGGCAGGAGUAGCGCAGGGAAAACUAGGAUUUGGAGUCGGAUGGGUUUUUUUCUCCUUCAGAUUUAUAUUACUGUACAUGGAGUGGGGUGGGAGUGAAGAAGAUUCUCCCUUUAGAAGAAUCAGUCUGUUCACCUUCAAAACCUAUCCAGACAGACUGGAUCUUCCAGCCUUCUCCAAGGGGCUGUGAGGGGGACAUCUUGAGCUGAACUGUGUCACCGACUGAAGCUCCCUGCUGUCUGGCCCUGACAGAGUUUCUGUGCUGCUCUCCAGCUGGAGUGCUGGCCCUCUCUUAAACCAUGUGCAUUCUUCGGCCAGAGGUCCCUGCAGCCAUAAGUAGUUCCUGAGCACAUACUCUAUUCCAGGCACAAGGAGGAGGCAGAACAGACCACCUGCCUGUAAAGCUACACUGUAAUGUGCAUUUGAGGCUUCUGCAGGUCGGUCUAUUAUAGGGGGAAAAUUAGGGCUAUUGGCUAAAAAGAAAAAAGUCUGUACUCUUGCUUCAUUAGGUAGCACUGUAGGUUUUAUUUUUUCUUGGUGGAGGUUGGGGAUAAUGUCAUUUAUUUAUUUAUUUUGAGAGAGAAGACAGAUGUGGUCAGACCUAUUCUCAAAGGGAUAAAGGUAAUGACAUGACUUAUCAGCCUUUCCUUGGAGCCACAGUGCAGGAAACAGGAAGACACUGCCCACUAAAGUGGGGGCUGUUUCUCUGGAACCUGAGCUCAGGACCAGUUCUCUUUGCCCUGCUGGGUGCUUCCAAGGGAAGACAAUAGUGGCAGAUAAUGUGGCUUCUUUCUCUGAUUCCAGGAGCCAAAGGAAAUGUCAGUUGCCUCUGGGACGGAACGUGACCUCCUUUAAGUUUGGGAGCAUGAAACCAAUGCAGUCAAAAUAUCACCCCAACCCCCUUCUGUUCCCUGGGAAAGAGACAACUCUGAGAAUAGCCUGGUGAAAGUAGAAAGAGCCCAGUCUUUGAAACAGUGCAGACAUGGGUUCGAAUCCUGGUUUGGCCAUUUAUUAGCCCUGUGAUCUUGGACAACUUACUCAAAUAUUCCAAGCCUGAGUGUCCUCAUCUGUAAUGAUAAUUUUUAUACCUACCUCACUUAGCAGUAAGAUGUAUUACAAAGCCAUAGCCCAAGAAGCAGUAAAGAACAAAGCAGACAAAUGGAAGAAAAUAGAAAAUCCUGAAGCAGAUCUAGGAAUCUAUGAUAGUUUGAUAUGAGAGGGAGGUGACAUCAAGAAUUGGUAAACAAAGGACUGAAUAUUCAGUAAAUGCUGCUGGAGAGACUGGCUUCUAACUGGACCAAAAUAAAGUCACUUUAUAGGUAUGUGUGUCUUCAUGUCUUCAGUUAUCUUUGGUUGACUAAGACCUAAAUGGGAAAAGGAAAACUAUAAAAAGAAGAGACUUGUGGUUGCUGGGGGUGGGAUGGACUGGGAGUUUGGGGUUGAUAGAUGCAGACUAUUAUUGUAUUUGGAGUGGACAGGCAAUGAGAUCCUGCUGUGUAGCACAGGGAACUAUAUCUAGUCACUUGUGAUGGAACAUGAUGGAGGAUAAUGUAAGAAAUAGAAGGUAGAUGUAUGUAUGACUGGGUCACUUUGCUGUACAGGAGAAACUGACAACACUGUAAAUCAACUAUAAUGGAAAAUAUUAAAAUCUUAUUUAAAAAAACAACUAAUAAAAUGGUAUUGGGCCUCAUCAUGGUCAACAUCCAGCCCCAAUAAGGAAAAGACAGAAAAGUUUGCCCCAGGAGCCAGGACAUCUACAAAGGCUGUUGGUGGACCUGGACAGUUUCUGGCCAGAGGAACCAUCUCCACCUUCAACCAGUUUGUGCUAAAGAGGUUUUUCACGAGUCGCACUGACUCCCCACCUCUGUCCAUGUCCUGGAUGAUCCAGAGGAUGAAGCUCGCCAGCCGGCAAGACAGAACGGACAACGCCCUGUCCGGGAGGCGCCUACACGAAGGGCUGGCGCUGCGCGGGAGCAGCCACACGGGGGCAGCCUCGCUGGAGCCGCAGCCUCGCGAGGACAGAAAGGGACAACAUCUUUCUCCUAGGCCAGCUGGCGCCCCACUGCUGCGGGGUGUGGCCCUCGCAAGGUUCAGAGCUGGCACAGCCACACCAAACCCUCCCAACGCUCCAAGGGCCAGAAGUUCAAGAACGCCCAGAGACCACGGACACUAACGCCAGAUUUUGCCUUGUUACUGAAACAGUUUUGGAUACUAUGGGGGGAAAACUCAUAAAAGAACAUCAUUUUAACCUCAGGGAAGGUAAGGAUUUCCUAAAGGCGAUCCCAGAUGGCUAGAUGUGGGCUCUGGGGGCAAGUGCUGCUGUGCAGAAAGGGGCUUCUGAACUCUUGGGGGGCGGGGCGGGCUGGACCCUGCUUUCUCCUCAGAGGGUUCAGUGGAGUCUGGGGAAUCGACACUUUCAAGGGCAUCUACACAGGUGUCCCUAUCCCAUUGGUCAGGACCUUGACCUGAUGGAUUUGCCCCAGUGAGGUAGUUAAUGGUCUUUGAAGUUCAGCCACUCUGGACUGUUCUGUCUUGGGAUUGUCUUGGGUUCAUUCCCCCUUCCCUGAAUAGAAGAUGAAAGUUGCCUUGUGUGCAGUUUAAGAGGCUCCUGUGGCUUCCAUUCCUGACUUUCCACUGGCUGCUGCUACACUUAGCUGUUCAUUAUCUUUCAAGGCAGGUAUCCAGAGUACUUACAAAGCACAUGGCCUUUUAAUACUGUUGUCUUUUAGCGUUGCUAUUACUCCCACCCCUCCCAGAAUCUUAAAUGCCUGGUACAUUCAUGGCCCAUGGGCACCCUCCACCCACAGGUGCACCACGGCUACAAGCUUCAGCAGUUGGUAGCCACCUGGCGCUCAGGCCUGCCUGUGCUUCACCUGCCACCAGAGAUGGGGUCCUUCUGGCCGGCUGAGAGGGGAAUAAUGCAGUCCCAAGCUCCAAAUAACCACCUGCUUUCUCGGACCAGUCCCAGCUGCCACAGGUAAGGUCCUCAGAAAGUAAACACUGAAAUGGAGUUCCAGGGAUAAGCGGUUUGCUCGGGACCACUACCUAAUUGGGCAGAGGAAGAAGGCCACUGACAAGCCUUGGCCAGUCUAUAGGGAGACCAGGAGCCAGCCUUGCUGAGCAGAGCUGUCCCACAUCUGGCUGAAGUGUCUGGCUGGUGUACUGCCCCCGCCUCUUCUCCAUCACUCGGUCAUCAGGGGUGGCUGCCCCAGGAAGGGCUGCUCUCUGCAGCUUGGCAGCAAGUCCUUACACAAAGUGGUCCCUUUGUCCACCACAGAUCAGAAAUGUAGUUUGUGUGUGAAGGCAGACUGUGUGCGUGAAUGAUAGCCAGCGCAUGCUGAGUACUGUGCCAGAUGAGGCUAAGUGCCAUUUAUACUCUGAGUCAGGGACCAUUAUUGGCCUCAUAUUUGUGUGCCCAGAUGAAGAAACUGAGGCAUGAAAAGUGAAAAUGACUUAGUCAAGGUUGCAUAGCAUGGAAUGGAGUUGAAGAUUCCCUCUGGAGAUUUUUUUUUAAUAAAAUUUGCUUGGAAUAAUUUUAAAC